RNAcentral lists this ribosomal RNA (253 nucleotides) under uncultured bacterium. RNAcentral's name for it is "partial 16S ribosomal RNA". It matches the Rfam family "Bacterial small subunit ribosomal RNA", at positions 524 to 776 of the family's 1533-position model. The record is from RNAcentral.
UACGUAGGGGGCAAGCGUUGUCCGGAUUUAUUGGGCGUAAAGAGCGUGUAGGCGGCCAUACAGGUCCGUUGUGAAAACUGGAGGCUUAACCUCCAGACGUCGAUGGAAACCGUAUGGCUAGAGUCCGGAAGAGGAGAGUGGAAUUCCUGGUGUAGCGGUGAAAUGCGCAGAUAUCAGGAGGAACACCCGUGGCGAAAGCGGCUCUCUGGGACGGUACUGACGCUGAGACGCGAAAGCGUGGGGAGCAAACAGG